GAACAUCUGCAAUGCACAGAGCGCAAUCAAAUUAUCGAUAAAUCAAUUGCUGGCAAGACAUCAAACGGGAGGAGAAAAAAAAAGAACACGUGCACAGCGCUAAUUGAUGCAAUAUGGAAUUUGAUUUCCAUUUCAGUUCAUAUUAAAUCAUUGAUAAGAGCACGGCGACCCCCUGCCGGUGCGGGCUAUCUAUAGCAAGGCGCGAGAACAAGUCUUCCAGAACAAAUCAUUUAUGUAACCAGGCCGAGCCCCCCACCCCUCCCCCUUCGAAAGUGACCUGCUGCAAUGUUUAGGGCUGUUAUGAAAUGUGGGCCAAGUGCAUGGACCUUCCAUAUACCCAAGAAAUGUAAAGUCCAAUAACAAAACAUGCACUGUUCCCGCAUAGCAAUUGUGAAAUCGGACGAAUAAAGAAAACAUGUGCGUUUGCCGCUGUUACGUGAGUAUAUGUGACUGUGUGUGUGCCGCUGGAAAGUAAAUCCAAUUGGAAAAUCUGCGAUUAUCAAUGGAACGUAAGAGAGAAUGCCCGCACGAAUUGUCAUUGAAGAUUCUAGAAAGAAGCCAGCCGCUCGCUUUGCCGGUUAUCUUAUAUAACACCGCAAUGCACACACACGCGCAAACGCACACACACAACAAUGAUAAUCCAAAUACUUGCGCACACGCGGUUUAUGAACGUUAAAUAAUAAAUUAGCUUGUUUUACUUA
Drosophila mojavensis is the source of this 701-nucleotide long non-coding RNA. RefSeq lists it as uncharacterized. Lineage: Eukaryota; Metazoa; Arthropoda; Insecta; Diptera; Drosophilidae. The record is from RefSeq and is a predicted model, not a curated record. The transcript is spliced from 2 exons.